Non-coding RNA from Chelonia mydas (Green sea turtle), 111 nucleotides. Lineage: Eukaryota; Metazoa; Chordata; Testudines; Cheloniidae. The record is from Rfam.
GUACUAUGCCUGACAAGCAGCACAGAUACUAAAAUUGGAACGAUACAGAGAAGAUUAGCAUGGCCCCUGCACAAGGAGGACACGCAAAUUCGUGAAGCGUUCCAUAAUUUA